AAUAGCCUGACGGCUGAACCAGCAACUUGGAGGAAUGUAUAGUGAGAACUAAUUGCACAAUAUGCAAUAUCGACUCUGUUGAAUAAAAUUCUGGGUGGAAUUAUGAUAAUGACAUUGUCUGCCCAUGUGUCUUGACCAAAUUACGUGCCAGCAGUCGCGGUAAUACGUAGAAGACUAGUGUUAUUCAUCUUUAAUAGGUUUAAAGGGUACCUAGACAGUAAAUAAAGCCAUAAGGGACUAGUUUGCUAGAGUUACUUAUGAGGGGGUUGAAAUGUACUAGUGGUGUAGAGAUAAAAUUUGUUGAUACCUUUUUCCUAGAGAGACAUAUGGCACAGAUAUAGGCGAAAGCGUCUCCUUAUGUGAUACCCUGGUAGUCGGCAGCAGAAAAUGAUGAGUGUCAUAGAUUAUUUUAUUCUAUAAAUGAAAGUGUAAGCAUUCCACCUCAAGAGUAAUUUGGCAACAUUGGAACUGAAAUCAUUAGACCGUUUCUGAAACCAGUAGUGAAGUAUGUUGUUUAAUUUGAUAACCCGCAAAAAACCUUACCAUAGAUAUUUAAAAGCGUUGCACGGCUGUCUUCAGUUAAUGUCGUGAGACUCUGGUUAGUUCCAUAAAAUUAACGUAAACCCUUACUUUAUUUUUACAUAAAGUUGUUCCCCACUAGAUUGGAUAUGAUAACAGGGAUCAAGACAAGUCAUCAUGGCCUAUUAUGUUAUGAACCUUACAAAAGGAUGUGAAAUUGUGAAAUUGAGCUAAUCCCACA
Molecule: ribosomal RNA, 760 nt
Filed under: Gilbertaria contristans
Lineage: Eukaryota; Fungi; Ascomycota; Lecanoromycetes; Lecanorales; Sphaerophoraceae
Description: SSU rRNA
Rfam family: Bacterial small subunit ribosomal RNA
Source: RNAcentral